GCUCAGUUGGUAGAGCAUGGUGUUUGCAACGCCAGCAUGGUGUUUGCAAUGCCAGGGUUGUGGGUUCGAUUCCCAC
This 76-nucleotide transfer RNA is filed under the name Salmo salar (Atlantic salmon). It matches the Rfam family "tRNA", at positions 10 to 63 of the family's 71-position model. Rfam says of the family: Transfer RNA (tRNA) molecules are approximately 80 nucleotides in length. The record is from Rfam by way of RNAcentral. Lineage: Eukaryota; Metazoa; Chordata; Actinopteri; Salmoniformes; Salmonidae.